UGCUUUACACAUGCAAGUCGAACGGAUUAAAGAGCUUGCUCUUUAGUUAGUGGCGAACGGGUGAGUAAUAUAUCGGAACAUAUCCGGAAGUGGGGGAUAACGUAGCGAAAGUUACGCUAAUACCGCAUAUGCCCUGAGGGGGAAAGGGGGGGAUCGCAAGACCUCUCGCUUUCGGAGUGGCCGAUAUCGGAUUAGCUAGUAGGUGAGGUAAAGGCUCACCUAGGCGACGAUCCGUAGCUGGUCUGAGAGGACGACCAGCCACACUGGAACUGAGACACGGUCCAGACUCCUACGGGAGGCAGCAGUGGGGAAUAUUGGACAAUGGGCGCAAGCCUGAUCCAGCAAUACCGCGUGUGUGAAGAAGGCCUGAGGGUUGUAAAGCAC
Molecule: ribosomal RNA, 384 nt
Filed under: uncultured organism
Description: bacterial SSU rRNA
Rfam family: Bacterial small subunit ribosomal RNA
Source: RNAcentral